RNAcentral lists this ribosomal RNA (499 nucleotides) under uncultured bacterium. RNAcentral describes it as "partial 16S ribosomal RNA". It matches the Rfam family "Bacterial small subunit ribosomal RNA", at positions 28 to 507 of the family's 1533-position model. The record is from RNAcentral.
GACGAACGCUGGCGGCGUGCCUAAUACAUGCAAGUCGAGCGAAGUUUUUCUGGUGCUUGCACCGGAAAAACUUAGCGGCGAACGGGUGAGUAACACGUAAAGAACCUACCUCAUAGACUGGGACAACUAUUGGAAACGAUAGCUAAUACCGGAUAACAGCAUUAACUGCAUGGUUGAUGUUUAAAAGUUGGUUUUGCUAACACUAUGAGAUGGCUUUGCGGUGCAUUAGCUAGUUGGUGGGGUAAAGGCCUACCAAGGCGACGAUGCAUAGCCGACCUGAGAGGGUGAUCGGCCACACUGGGACUGAGACACGGCCCAGACUCCUACGGGAGGCAGCAGUAGGGAAUCUUCCGCAAUGGGCGAAAGCCUGACGGAGCAACGCCGCGUGAGUGAAGAAGGAUUUCGGUUCGUAAAGCUCUGUUGUUAGGGAAGAAUGAUUGUGUAGUAACUAUACACAGUAGAGACGGUACCUAACCAGAAAGCCACGGCUAACUACGUG